GCAUCCUUGGAGUGAGGUAGAGAAAGCCUUUAUCCUUUUUUUGCACUCUCCUAAUGGACAUAUCCUGAAACAACUUGAAGAGGUGUAACUUAAAGGAGCACUGAGAGCCUAAGCGGAGAAAAUCAAAGUCCUGCUAAAAUAUCUCAUUGAGCACUCUGAAACAAGAGCACCUGGAUCGGUAUCCCUUCAUCCUGACACCAGCCUUUGCAAGACUGACUUUGGCUCCUUCCAAUGGUACGUCUUUAUGGAGUGCAGCAUCUCUUCAGGGCAGAAUCAGUCAGGGCACAAGAAAAGAGCAUGGGAUAGAUUACCAGAAAACUCAGUGCAACACGGAUACUAGGCAAGUAUCUUCACCAUCAACAGGCCAAGCAUUUUAUUCGUGUUUCAUUUCAUUGCUGUAUUUUCUUUUUGGGAAGCAAUUUCUUAAUCACAGUGAAUGCAUGUUAUGCCUCUCUAGCAUUAACACAGCCCUGAUGGUUGCAGCACUCAAAUAUUUGGCAUCUUCUGUAUCUUUCAGGAAACCUUGGUUUUUGUAUGGAUGCUCCAUUGCAAUGGCAAUUUCUUCCUACUGCUUUUUAUGAGGGUUAGUGGGAAUUGCUCGCAGUGAAGUCGUGUGUGCUGUCAUCAGGACUGCAAUUCAGGUGCUCCACAGAGCAGAUGCAGACCUUUUGUGCCUUAGGGAGCCUGUCUGCCUGCAAGGUUGUUCAGGAUGCAGACUAGGAGUUAAAAGGGUUGUUUGUAGACCCCUGGCUCUGCAGAUAUCCUGGAGAGGUUGAUUUUCACAGUUAUUCCAACUCUGGGACUCUACAGUCAUUGCUGUUGGUCUACAGCUGGAAUAAAAUUCCUUCUUUCCUGCCAGUCUUGAAAGGGAUUUUUUGCUUUAAAAUCUGUUUCUGCAGUCCAGCAUGUAUAGGCAUCCAUGAACAAAGAAUUUGGGUCUGUCUCUGUAUCCUCUGAUGUUACCAGCUAUUUUUUUGAUAGCUGCAAGAUAAAUAGCACUAUGCCACUAAACUAUGAAAUCUACUGUAUUAACAUUGAUCUGAACUCAAGCAUGGGAGAUGAGGAGUGCACUACAGAGAACUGUCUUUGCCUCUCAUUCACAGAAUAUUUUGUCCUGGAUGACCUCUAAGUUUGUUGGUCAAAACACUCUAGACCUCCUUUGGUACAUCACACUGUUCUUCACAGUUCAGACAACUGGGUUUAAUUUUCAACACAUAAUUAUGCUACACUUCUUUGUGCAUUCCCUUUUCAGCUCCCCAAAACUAAAUGUGUUUUGACAGUUACCACCAAGAGAUAAAAAAUAUAAUACUCCUUGUUUCAUUGGAUGCAAUAUUGGAAAGACAAUCAUUCUUUUCCUUCGUAAGUGCUACUAUAAGCUGUUGUACUGACUGUUGAUUUGGAAUAUAUAACUGUGUUUUGCCUGAUCCUGUUAAUCCCUAUGUAUCUCACAAGUUUAGAGGCUCUGGCUAGUGCAUAUAUUCUAACACUGUCAGAUCUGGUCCACAAUGAGUGGCUUGACAGCCUUGGAGCCUACUACAGGUACAGUCCUUUUUAAAACCUGCUUAACCACAAUAGCUGAACCUUCUUUUGUAGCUUUCAUAGAUAGAGAUUUAAUACUUGUGAACUCUUUAAUACUCUUAAUAUACUUGGAUAAUCUUUUAGACAAAACAUACUUUAUUUGUUUCAACUGUUUUUGAAAUAUGGGUUUGAUUUUUUUGUUUUUUCAGAUUUCUACACCUGAUUUUUUUUCAUACCACAAGCUUGAAUAAAAAGUUAAUUUUGUAUCAGCAUCUUCUGGUACCAGUUAGGGUGAAUUUAGCAUGUAUUGGUGAAAAAAUCUUGAUCAUUUUUUAAUCUAAAUUUGAUUUGGGAUGCAGGUAGGUGUUUAGGCCUAUGCAGCUACUGUUCACUCAACAUUCAGGAAGUGCUCCUUUUUAAUAUAUUCCAGUAAUUAGUUUCAUGAGAGAUCUGUAUGUAUUAAUCUGCCACAACACUGGGACCAGCUUAUAUCAUGAGAUAUUUUUUCCCUCUUUCAAGGUCAUUUUGGAACUCUGUCUUGUGCAUCUGAAGUGUAAAGAGCCAGCUCUGCCUGUUUCUGUGUCAGAGCUUUUCUACCUCUAUACAAGGGCACCUUCCUAAAAAGCCUGGAGCUGUUUGCCUGGGGCAAAGGCCGAGGUGCUCACUUAAAAGAUUUAGGAGCCCCGAUUCAUGAUGCCCAUUACACAUGCUGAGGCACAGCCUUACCCAAAGAGUAAAGCUCUCAGGAGGCAACGAACAUCUGGCAAAUCCGCAUCAGGAGAGAGUCUUGUCCCAUCGUUGCUGCCUUGGGUUAGAGGACAACGAAAUGAGCAGGAGAAAGUGUGGAGCAUGGAAAGAGGACCUAUCAGGCUACGGGAGAGAAGAAUUAAAGUAGCCUGUACAACUUUUUGCUCUGGCCUUUUUAAUAUCCACGGUAUCACUCACUACUUCCCCAACAAAUUAUUUAAUAGAUGUAAAAAUAUCUUACGCAGGUGUUUAGCAUAUUGCAGUCUUAAAGAAAUGGAUGUUACUAAGCACAUAGUGCUGUUAGCGAGAAAUGGAAUACUGUUGCAAUUUCCUCAGAAUAUCCUAUGACUUUUCCCUGCAGCCUUGAGAUGUAAGUUAUACCCUCAGCGAAGGACCUUUGAAUGUCCAUAGUAGAUGGGUUGCUUUGUCUUCACUUGGUUAUAUUUUUAUACAGCUGAUAAAGACAACUGUGUUAAAACUUUUACUUCCUGUUUAAAUAUCUUUAAUUUAUGAGUUAGUUAGAUUUCCAGCUAGUUUAAUUUGGUGUAAUCUCAAUGUUAUGUCAAGUAAGCUAUUACAAUCUACUGGCCCUGCAUCUCUAAAUACUACUUAAUUAUAGGGCCCAAAGCCCUGCUGAGUGUUAUAAUUCAACUAAUUUCUAAAUGAAACUGAAACAUUUGAAGGCAGGAUAUAUGAUUAGCCUGUACUUAUGAACAUAUUUAUAGUUGUUUUAUUUUCUUUAUUUUCUCAUUAUGUUUGGACAGAUCUGUUGAACUCAAUAAUCCAUUAUGAAAUACUGUAGUCUGAUUUAAAAUCAGCUUCACGAGUGAGAAAACUGGUAAUAACCCCCUCUGCAAAGAAGCAAAUGAUUGAACAAAGCUCAGAGACCUCAGCUGGACUAAAUGGCAAACUGUGCACAGUGAUAAGGUUGAGAAUUUGCCAGGCAGGGAUUUGAAAGCAUGGGAAUAUCACCCCUGCUUCAUCCAGGACUCAAGUUGCUCCUGUUGAGGCAAAGCUGCUUCUUUUGUGUAAUGUAUUUGCAGAUUUUUAAAACUGGGAAAGUUUGACUUGCUAUGAAUUAAACUGUGUGCUUUAUUAUAGAUAAUAGACAUCACUGCACUUUUCCUAUUAAUUUCUUUUGAAAAUAAUGCCUUCUUAGUUCUGUGCUACAGACAGUGAAUGGGUUGAAAAAAAAGCGACGAUUGUCUAAGAUUUAUAUGUAAAGUUUUCUAACCCAAAUCUGUUGCUUAGAAUAUUCAUACCCCCCCGCCCCGAUUCUGAAUUAGGCAUUCAAGGCAACAUAAAUUUCCAAAUAAAAGCAAACGGUGUCCCUUCAUCCUCCCCCAAAGCAGCUCUUGGGCAAGCUCUGAGGAAAAAAUGUUAACAAUGUUUAAAGCUGUACUGACCCCAAACUGAAGCUUUCCUGGGUUCACUGCUGCAGACUCUAACUUUUCUGUGGUGUUUUGUAGGAGGUAAUUUCUGUGCUGGUUAUGAUUUGAAAGAGCUGGCCCGCAACCCAACCUCAAUCAAAUUGGAACAACAUGUCACCAAAGGUCCUGGUCCCAUGUUUCACCAGAACUUUCCCCAAAGCCCUGCAGACUUUGAGUAGUCUGGGGCUUAUUUCAUCUCGAAGAACGCCUCCUCUACACAGAACUUCCUACUUAGAUGAGCUUUUCCACUGCAAAUGGGAGGUGAUCACCACUGGAUAUGUGUGGUAUCCCCCAAAACUUGUCAGGAUCAGGCUGGUGUAUAUGUUCUGCCCCCUUGAGAGUCAGAGUUGGACUGAAGACCCUGAAAAGCAGACCAUAUUGAUUUGGAGAUACUCCUCAGUGUGGGCAAAGAAGAUGUUGUGUCCAGCAAGAGCUCCUGAACCAGUUCUUCGGAUGACUUCUUUCUGCAGUCUCAGUGGGGAAUGAAGACUGACUGUAGAGCCAAAUGGAUCAUCCUGCUCCUAAAAAUAGUGACCUGUGCUUUCAGAGUUGCUGUGGCUGGCAGUUGGGUAGUGGAAGGACUCCAGUUUACCAAAGAGGAAUGUAAGCAGGUAUGCAGUGCUGAUGGCCCUGGAGAGCUCUUGCGGUGUUCUUGGUGCACUUUUGAGGAAAUCUCUACAGAAAAGAUACAGACUGCAGAUCACAGAUAUCAGGGGCUACCGGGACAGGUGUCGUGGUGAAGGAGGAGUGGUGGACUACUGGUGGCUUGGCCAAGGACCACGUGGGUGAAGGGAGGUGAGUUAGCAGAUGCUGGGCUCCCACGUACAAAGGAUGGGAACUGCUGGGUCCACUUGUGAAAAGCCAGGGGAAAAUGACAGGUUGCCCAAAGCAGAACCCACAAGGCUUUUGGGUAAGGGCAACAGUAGGAGGAAGUUGUGAGGGCAGUUUUUUAGAGCCAU
Dromaius novaehollandiae (emu) is the source of this 4654-nucleotide long non-coding RNA. RefSeq lists it as uncharacterized. The transcript is spliced from 6 exons. The record is from RefSeq and is a predicted model, not a curated record. NCBI's taxonomy places the organism in Eukaryota, Metazoa, Chordata, Aves, Casuariiformes, Dromaiidae.